AGUGGUUUGGCUCAGUGGAUAGAGCGUUGGCCUGCAGAGCAAAGGGCCCAGGUUCGAUUCUGGUUCGAUUC
RNAcentral lists this transfer RNA (71 nucleotides) under Myotis brandtii (Brandt's bat). It matches the Rfam family "tRNA". From Rfam's summary of the family: Transfer RNA (tRNA) molecules are approximately 80 nucleotides in length. Their secondary structure includes four short double-helical elements and three loops (D, anti-codon, and T loops). The record is from Rfam by way of RNAcentral. Lineage: Eukaryota; Metazoa; Chordata; Mammalia; Chiroptera; Vespertilionidae.